Molecule: long non-coding RNA, 419 nt
Filed under: Elaeis guineensis (African oil palm)
Lineage: Eukaryota; Viridiplantae; Streptophyta; Magnoliopsida; Arecales; Arecaceae
Description: long non-coding RNA (EGUI_LNC026491)
Source: RNAcentral
UUGGUGGUGGAGGGUGAUUCGGCUGCAGUGGUUAGUUGGUUUCAUAGAUAGGGAGAUGUUUCCAACCCGUUUGUUCAUGAUAUCAGAUUUUUGUUAGCAUGUUACGUUUACGUGGACAUCAGAUAUAUCUAUCGCGAGGCGAAUGCCGCCAAUUGGAUGACAAGUUAUGUAGCCAAUCACUCAUAUUUGGAUUGAUGUAUCUGUCUUACUGGUGUCCUCCCGAAACAUUUUUUUUCUGCCUUUUUGGAUUGUAUUCAUACACACAUUGUAUGAAUGUUCCAUUUGGCCAAAAAAAAAAAAAUAACAACUUUGCUUUUGAGAUGCUUUCCAAGAUACCCUCUCAAAUAAUAGUAAUUAUGAUUUUUUGGGUUUGAAAGUUUUUCUUCUCGAGAAGAGAGAGGCAAGAUCGAAAUGGAAAA